AGUUUAACCGCCUCGGAUUCAUUUUCAACCACUUUUCUGUGUUUGUAACGCUGACCGAGCGGCGGCGGCGGCUGUUGCUAGUUCCGGUCUGGAGGGAAACUGCCAACUUUCCAAAGGAGGAACAGCGGACCAAUCAGAGGAAGUUUUUUCACAGCAGAGAGGAGACGGCUGCCAUUUGAAGAAGAGACUAAAUGAAACGGAACCGAGGAUCAGCAGAGGAUCUGAACCCAGGAUCAGCAGAGGAUCUGAACCCAGGAUCAGCAGAGGAUCUGAACCCAGGAUCAGCAGAGGAUCUGAACCGAGCCCAAGUUAAUCUGGGGAAUUUACAUAUUUGUUACAACACAAAUGAGUAAAUGAGCAGGUGUGUGAGCAGGAGCGGUGAUGGAACCAGUCCGCUGUCGUCUCUGUCUCCUCUGCAGCCAUUUGGACAAAUCCGUCCCCGGGGCUCCGGACACCUUCAGCGGGCUCUGGGAGUGGCCGUGGGAGAGUUUGCACUCAGGUUCUGAUCCGCUUUGAUGUGGACGGCACAGCGUCGGGGAGCGAGGCCAUCCGGGGAGAAAGGCAAAGAAAAGAGGCUUCAUUAUUUCAGACAGCUGUCAGCCGGCCACGUUCAAUUAGCAGCAAUUCGUUUGUCAGGCUGGGAACACAAAGCAGCUGCAGGACGGAUAAACAACGGAGCCGGUUCCUUUCUGAUGUUGAGCUGAGCCACAAAACGAGAGACAAAGAUUCAACCAGCAGACUGAGCCUGUUCCAGGUUCCAGGUUCCAGGUUCCAGGUUCCAGUCUGAGACUCCAGUGUUGCACUGGAAACCAGCAAAACAUCUCAGAUGAUGAGUGAAAUGAUAAAAACGGACCUGAACUCGUCGUCUGUAAUGAACUCCAACCUUUUGCUCUCUGGUUUCAGAGUUCAUCAUGAUGCAGACGGAUUCUCCUCAUGUCUCUCCAGACCCGGUCGCUCCUGGUUCCUGUUGGUUCUGCUUCACGUCAGAACAAACAUGAUGAUCUGGGCUUCAGUUUGGACCUGCUGUGCGUUUCAACACCACAGUGACCUGGAUGUUGUUGCUGCCUUGAUGCAGCUUUCAUAUCAAUAUGGACCCAAACCUCUGAUGAUAUGAAGAGUCGGUGGUUCUGAAGGAAAAACGGAUCCAAGCUAAUGGUACCGAGGUGUACCUAAUAAAGUGGAGAUCUGUUGAAGCAAA
This is a long non-coding RNA of Xiphophorus couchianus (Monterrey platyfish), 1198 nucleotides long. RefSeq lists it as uncharacterized. The transcript is spliced from 5 exons. NCBI's taxonomy places the organism in Eukaryota, Metazoa, Chordata, Actinopteri, Cyprinodontiformes, Poeciliidae. The record is from RefSeq and is a predicted model, not a curated record.